GACGAACGCUGGCGGCUUUCUUCCCCCCUUCCAUUCGAACUUCAAUUCCCUGCUUUUUUUUUUUUCUCGCUUGGCGAACGGGUGAGUAACACGUGAGUACCCUUCCCUUGACUUUUGUAUAACUUCAUGCAACUGGGGCUAAUACCGUAUAUGAGCUCCUGCUGCAUGGUGGGGGUUGGAAAGUUUCGGCGGUUGGGGAUGGACUCGCGGCUUAUCAGCUUGUUGGUGGGGUAGUGGCUUACCAAGGCGUUGACGGGGCGCAGGCCGGAGAGGGUUCCAGGCAACAUUGGGAAGGAGAUACGGCCAAGACUCCUACGGGAGGCAGCAGUGGGGAAUAUUGCACAAUGGGCGGAAGCCUGAUGCAGCAACGCCGCGUGCGGGAGGAAGGCAUUCGGGUUGUAAACCGCUUUCGCCUGUGACGAAGCGUGAGUGACGGUAAUGGGUAAAGAAGCAAAGGCUAACUACGUG
RNAcentral lists this ribosomal RNA (468 nucleotides) under uncultured bacterium. Its description in RNAcentral is "partial 16S ribosomal RNA". It matches the Rfam family "Bacterial small subunit ribosomal RNA", at positions 28 to 507 of the family's 1533-position model. The record is from RNAcentral.